This is a non-coding RNA of Bombyx mori (domestic silkworm), 83 nucleotides long. The record is from Rfam. Lineage: Eukaryota; Metazoa; Arthropoda; Insecta; Lepidoptera; Bombycidae.
UUAACUCAAAUUUGUAUGGAGUUGGAAUGUUGCUUACGUUUGCCGCUAGGGGCGCUGUUCUAACUGCAUGCAAAUUUGAGUUA